AUGGAUGUUGAGCCGAUGAUUUCCAAGCCGCCAAGCCCAGCUAAGCCCGCUGAAGAGAAGACUGACGAUGUUGUCGUCACCGGGUUUGGUUACACAGCACCGGGUAACCCCACUGUCUUAUCCAAGCACAACGCCAAGGAAGAAAUUUCCGCUGAUGAUAAGGGCAAGUGGAAGGUAGACUUAGAGGGCUAUGCCCAGUUCAGUGCCCAAGACAUCCACUCUGGUUAUUUGAACCGUCUACACACCAGUCGUGACUUCGAAGCCGGCUUGGUCAAUUUGAUGAAGGAACGCUAUGAGGCUGAAUUGUCUGAGAAGGAUUCGCGGCUCAAUGAUCCGAAGGCCAACAUAAAAACUCAACAAUCUGAGACAUCCGAGGCCAAAUCAGAACCGAAGACUGCUUUAGAGAACAUUGAGCAGCUUAAGCAAAACUUCAAUACUGACAAAGAUGGUUGGGAAAGUGAAAAAGCAGCUCUAUUGAAGAGAGCGGAAGAUGCUGAAGCCGCACUUAAACCUGGUGACUAA
RNAcentral lists this ribosomal RNA (522 nucleotides) under Triticum aestivum (bread wheat). Its description in RNAcentral is "partial small subunit ribosomal RNA". Lineage: Eukaryota; Viridiplantae; Streptophyta; Magnoliopsida; Poales; Poaceae. The record is from RNAcentral.